RNAcentral lists this ribosomal RNA (445 nucleotides) under uncultured bacterium. RNAcentral's name for it is "partial 16S ribosomal RNA". It matches the Rfam family "Bacterial small subunit ribosomal RNA", at positions 354 to 796 of the family's 1533-position model. The record is from RNAcentral.
GUGAGGAAUAUUGCGCAAUGGAGGCAACUCUGACGCAGCCAUGCCGCGUGCAGGAAGAAGGCGCUACGCGUUGUAAACUGCUUUUAACCGGGAAGAAACCCCAGGACGUGUCCUGGGUUGACGGUACCGGAGGAAUAAGCACCGGCUAACUUCGUGCCAGCAGCCGCGGUAAUACGAAGGGUGCAAGCGUUAUCCGGAUUCAUUGGGUUUAAAGGGUGCGUAGGCGGAGCGUUAAGUCAGUGGUGAAAUCCUGCAGCUUAACUGUAGACUUGCCAGUGAGACUGGCGCUCUUGAGUGCGCUUGAAGUGGGCGGAAUGUGCCGUGUAGCGGUGAAAUGCUUAGAUAUGGCAAAGAACACCAAUUGCGAAGGCAGCUCACUAAGGCGAUACUGACGCUGAGGCACGACAGCGUGGGGAUCGAACAGGAUUAGAUACCCCGGUAGUCC